GACGAACGCUGGCGGCGUGCCUAAUACAUGCAAGUCGAACGCAUUUUCUUUCACCGUAGCUUGCUACACCGAAAGAAAAUGAGUGGCGAACGGGUGAGUAACACGUGGGUAACCUGCCCAUCAGCGGGGGAUAACACUUGGAAACAGGUGCUAAUACCGCAUAAUUCCAUUUACCGCAUGGUAAAUGGAUGAAAGGCGCUUUUGCGUCACUGAUGGAUGGACCCGCGGUGCAUUAGCUAGUUGGUGGGGUAACGGCCUACCAAGGCUGCGAUGCAUAGCCGCCCUGAGGGGGUGAUCGGCCACACUGGGACUGAACCACGGCCCAGACUCCUACGGGAGGCAGCAGUAGGGAAUCUUCGGCAAUGGACGCAAGUCUGACCGAGCAACGCCGCGUGAGUGAAAAAGGUUUUCGGAUCGUAAACCUCUUUUGUUAGGGAAAAACAAGGAUGGGAGUGGAAAGUUCCCCCCUUGACGGUAUUAAACCAGAAAGCCCCGGCUACCUCCGU
RNAcentral lists this ribosomal RNA (506 nucleotides) under uncultured bacterium. RNAcentral's name for it is "partial 16S ribosomal RNA". It matches the Rfam family "Bacterial small subunit ribosomal RNA", at positions 28 to 506 of the family's 1533-position model. The record is from RNAcentral.